AAAAGACUGUGGUGGGAGUUUUCCCUUCAGACUUUUCAGUCACUGUCUCUCCUGGGCUGAAGAAGAGCUGUCUCUGAGAAGCAGAAGAACAACAGCUAUUUGCUUGAUUGACUUCUGCUUGGAUGAAGGAUGAUGGAAGCUGCUGUUGCUGGGGACUAAGGUCCUGGCCACCU
This is a long non-coding RNA of Nothoprocta perdicaria, 173 nucleotides long. RefSeq lists it as uncharacterized. Lineage: Eukaryota; Metazoa; Chordata; Aves; Tinamiformes; Tinamidae. The record is from RefSeq and is a predicted model, not a curated record. The transcript has 2 exons.